Molecule: ribosomal RNA, 496 nt
Filed under: uncultured bacterium
Lineage: Bacteria
Description: partial 16S ribosomal RNA
Rfam family: Bacterial small subunit ribosomal RNA
Source: RNAcentral
AUGAACGCUGGCGGCGUGCCUAAUACCUGCAAGUCGAGCGAACAGAUAAGGAGCUUGCUCCUUUGACGUUAGCGGCGGACGGGUGAGUAACACGUGGGUAACCUACCUAUAAGACUGGGAUAACUUCGGGAAACCGGAGCUAAUACCGGAUAAUAUUUCGAACCGCAUGGUUCGAUAGUGAAAGAUGGUUUUGCUAUCACUUAUAGAUGGACCCGCGCCGUAUUAGCUAGUUGGUAAGGUAACGGCUUACCAAGGCGACGAUACGUAGCCGACCUGAGAGGGUGAUCGGCCACACUGGAACUGAGACACGGUCCAGACUCCUACGGGAGGCAGCAGUAGGGAAUCUUCCGCAAUGGGCGAAAGCCUGACGGAGCAACGCCGCGUGAGUGAUGAAGGUCUUCGGAUCGUAAAACUCUGUUAUUAGGGAAGAACAUACGUGUAAGUAACUGUGCACGUCUUGACGGUACCUAAUCAGAAAGCCACGGCUAACUACGUG